GACGAACGCUGGCGGCGUGCUUAACACAUGCAAGUCGAACGGAAAGGCUCCAGCUUGCUGGAGUACUCGAGUGGCGAACGGGUGAGUAACACGUGGGUAAUCUGCCCUGCACUCUGGGAUAAGCCUGGGAAACUGGGUCUAAUACCGGAUAUGACCUUUCUCCUUAUGGGGUUUGGUGGAAAGUUUUUCGGUGUAGGAUGAGCCCGCGGCCUAUCAGCUUGUUGGUGGGGUGAUGGCCUACCAAGGCGACGACGGGUAGCCGGCCUGAGAGGGUGAUCGGGCACAAUGGGACUGAGAUACGGCCCAGACGCCUACGGGAGGCAGCAGUGGGGAGUAUUGCACAAUGGGCGGACGCCUGAUGCAGCGACGCCGCGUGAGUGAUGAAGGCCUUCUGGUUGUAAACCUCUUUCAGCAGGGACGAAGCGUAAGUGACGGUACCUGCAGAAGAAGCACCGGCUAACUAUGUG
Molecule: ribosomal RNA, 467 nt
Filed under: uncultured bacterium
Lineage: Bacteria
Description: partial 16S ribosomal RNA
Rfam family: Bacterial small subunit ribosomal RNA
Source: RNAcentral